GCGCAGCAGUCGAGAAUCUUCGGCAAUGGGGAAACCCUGACCGAGCGACGCCGCGUGUGGGAUGAAGGCCCUUGGGUUGUAAACCACUGUCAGAGGGGAUGAAAUGCCGGAAAGUUAUCUCUCCGGUUUGACAUAGCCUCAGAGGAAGCACGGGCUAAGUUCGUGCCAGCAGCCGCGGUAAGACGAACUGUGUAAACGUUAUUCGGAAUCACUGGGCUUGAAGAGUGCGUAGGCGGUUUCGUAAGUAGGGUGUGAAAGCCCCCGGCUCAACCGGGGAAUUGCGUCCUAAACUGCGAGGCUGGAGUGAGGUAGGGGUGUGUGGAACUUCCAGUGGAGCGGUGAAAUGUGUUGAUAUUGGAAGGAACGCCGGUGGCGAAAGCGACACACUGGACCUUGCUGACGCUGAGGCACGAAAGCCAGGGAGCAAACGGGAUUAGAUACCCGCGUAGU
This 450-nucleotide ribosomal RNA is filed under the name uncultured organism. RNAcentral's name for it is "bacterial SSU rRNA". It matches the Rfam family "Bacterial small subunit ribosomal RNA", at positions 346 to 794 of the family's 1533-position model. The record is from RNAcentral.